GCCUACGGGGGGCAGCAGUAGGGAAUCCUCCACAAUGGGCGAAAGCCUGAUAGAGCAACGCCGCGUGGGUGAAGAAGGUCUUCGGAUCGUAAAACCCUGUUGUUAGAGAAGAAAGUGCGUGAGAGUAACUGUUCACGUUUCGACAGUAUCUAACCAGAAAGCCACGGCUAACUACGUGCCAGCAGCCGCGGUAAUACGUAGGUGGCAAGCGUUAUCCGGAUUUAUUGGGCGUAAAGGGAACGCAGGCGGUCUUUUAAGUCUGAUGUGAAAGCCUUCGGCUUAACCGGAGUAGUGCAUUGGAAACU
This 305-nucleotide ribosomal RNA is filed under the name uncultured bacterium. Its description in RNAcentral is "bacterial SSU rRNA". It matches the Rfam family "Bacterial small subunit ribosomal RNA", at positions 337 to 634 of the family's 1533-position model. The record is from RNAcentral.